This 496-nucleotide ribosomal RNA is filed under the name uncultured bacterium. Its description in RNAcentral is "partial 16S ribosomal RNA". It matches the Rfam family "Bacterial small subunit ribosomal RNA", at positions 28 to 507 of the family's 1533-position model. The record is from RNAcentral.
GACGAACGCUGGCGGCGUGCUUAACACAUGCAAGUCGAACGGGCCUGCCCUUUUUUGGGUGGGUUGAGUGGCGAACGGGUGAGUAGCACGUGAGUAACCUGCCCCCUGCUCCUGGAUAACGCCCUGAAAGGGGUGCUAAUACGGGGUGUGCUGGUGCUGCCGCAUGGUGGGGCCGGGAUAGGUUCCCCUUUUUUUUGGGGUUCUGGGGGGGGUUGGGCUCGCGGCCUAUCAGCUUGUUGGUGGGGUGAUGGCCUACCAAGGCGGGGAGGGGUAGCCGGCCUGAGAGGGUGGACGUCCACACUGGGACUGAGACACGGGCCAGACGCCUGCGGGAGGCAGCCGUGGGGGGUAUUGCGCGAUGGGCGGAAGCCUGACGCAGCGACGCCGCGGGAGGGACGGAGGCCUUCGGGUGGUGAACCUCUUUCGCCGGUGGGGAAGGCGCCCCCGUGUGGGGUGCGGGCUGUAGCCGGGUUAAGAAGCGCCGGCUAACUACGUG